GAUGAACGCUGGCGGCGUGCCUAAUACAUGCAAGUCGAGCGAACAGAUAAGGAGCUUGCUCCUUUGACGUUAGCGGCGGACGGGUGAGUAACACGUGGAUAACCUACCUAUAAGACUGGGAUAACUUCGGGAAACCGGAGCUAAUACCGGAUAAGAUUUUGAACCGCAUGGUUCAAUAGUGAAAGACGGCCUUGCUGUCACUUAUAGAUGGAUCCGCGCCGUAUUAGCUAGUUGGUAAGGUAACGGCUUACAAAGGCAACGAUACGUAGCCGACCUGAGAGGGUGAUCGGCCACACUGGAACUGAGACACGGUCCAGACUCCUACGGGAGGCAGCAGUAGGGAAUCUUCCGCAAUGGGCGAAAGCCUGACGGAGCAACGCCGCGUGAGUGAUGAAGGUCUUCGGAUCGUAAAACUCUGUUAUCAGGGAAGAACAAACGUGUAAGUAACUGUGCACGUCUUGACGGUACCUGAUCAGAAAGCCACGGCUAACUACGUG
RNAcentral lists this ribosomal RNA (497 nucleotides) under uncultured bacterium. RNAcentral describes it as "partial 16S ribosomal RNA". It matches the Rfam family "Bacterial small subunit ribosomal RNA", at positions 28 to 507 of the family's 1533-position model. The record is from RNAcentral.